AUUGAACGCUGGCGGUAGGCUUAACACAUGCAAGUCGUGCGAGAAAGUAUCUUCGGAUAUGAGUAGAGCGGCGGACGGGUGAGUAACGCGUAGGAAUCUACCUAGUAGAAGGGGAUAGCCCGGGGAAACUCGGAUUAAUACCGUAUACCUCCUUCGGGAGAAAGAAGGCCUCUCUUUGAAGCUUUCGCUAUUAGAUGAGCCUGCGUAAGAUUAGCUUGUUGGUGAGGUAAAGGCUCACCAAGGCGACGAUCUUUAGCGGGUCUGAGAGGACGAUCCGCCACAUUGGGACUGAGACACGGCCCAGACUCCUACGGGAGGCAGCAGUGGGGAAUAUUGGACAAUGGGCGCAAGCCUGAUCCAGCCAUACCGCGUGUGUGAAGAAGGCCCUAGGGUUGUAAAGCACUUUAAGUUGGGAAGAAAAGUUAUUGGUUAAUACCCAAUAACCGUGACAUUACCAUCAGAAUAAGGACCGGCUAAUUCCGUGCCAGCAGCCGCGGUAAUACGGAAGGUCCAAGCGUUAAUCGGAAUUACUGGACGUAAAGCGCGCGUAGGUGGUUUAUUAAGUUGGAUGUGAAAUCCCCGGGCUCAACCUGGGAACUGCAUCCAAAACUGAUUCACUAGAGUACGAUAGAGGGAGGUAGAAUUCACAGUGUAGCGGUGGAAUGCGUAGAUAUUGUGAAGAAUACCAAUGGCGAAGGCAGCCUCCUGGAUCUGUACUGACACUGAGGUGCGAAAGCGUGGGUAGCGAACAGGAUUAGAUACCCUGGUAGUCCACGCCGUAAACGAUGUCAACUAGCUGUUGGAAAACUAUGUUUUUCAGUGGCGCAGCUAACGUAGUAAGUUGACCGCCUGGGGAGUACGGCCGCAAGGCUAAAACUCAAAUGAAUUGACGGGGACCCGCACAAGCGGUGGAGCAUGUGGUUUAAUUCGAUGCAACGCGAAAAACCUUACCUAUACUUGACAUACUUGGAAUGCUUUGUAAUGAAGCAGUGCCUUCGGGAGCCAAGAUACAGGUGCUGCAUGGCUGUCGUCAGCUCGUGUCGUGAGAUGUUCCGUUAAGUCGGAUAACGAGCGCAACCCUUACCCUUAUUUGCCAGCGAUUCGGUCGGGAACUAUAAGGGGACUGCCGGUGAUAAACCGGAGGAAGGUGAGGACGACGUCAAGUCAUCAUGGCCCUUACGUAUAGGGCUACACACGUGCUACAAUGGAGAAUACAGACGGACGCUAAGCCGCGAGGUGGUGCUAAUCCUAGAAAAUUCUUCGUAGUCCGGAUUGGAGUCUGCAACUCGACUCCAUGAAGUCGGAAUCGCUAGUAAUCGCGAAUCAGCAUGUCGCGGUGAAUACGUUCUCGGGUCU
This 1356-nucleotide ribosomal RNA is filed under the name uncultured bacterium. Its description in RNAcentral is "bacterial SSU rRNA". It matches the Rfam family "Bacterial small subunit ribosomal RNA", at positions 28 to 1381 of the family's 1533-position model. The record is from RNAcentral.